Long non-coding RNA from Thunnus maccoyii (southern bluefin tuna), 666 nucleotides. RefSeq lists it as uncharacterized. The transcript has 6 exons. NCBI's taxonomy places the organism in Eukaryota, Metazoa, Chordata, Actinopteri, Scombriformes, Scombridae. The record is from RefSeq and is a predicted model, not a curated record.
GUGGAACAUAGUUACAGCAGAGGAAAAGUCAGUGGGAGACGAAAUGUUUGAAGUAAUACCGUUAAAUGCCAGGUGGAUACCGCUAUGGAAGACUUCUUUUUAGCGAGACUACUGCGUUCCCAGAUUACAGCUAUUAACAUGUUCAAUUUAAAAAGCCAAACAUUGUCAUCAUCAUUCACCAGCAGCUGUGCAAAGGCAGGACAGAUGCCUCCUACACCCUUUCCCAGUUAGCAGUUGGGAACCAUCCAUGUCAAUUAUAAUCUACCACAACAGUUGGCUGAGUGUUAUUCAUGAUAUUAAGGACAGGGUUCCCAUAAGACUGAAGAACAAGUGAGCUGAGAGUGAAAGAUUACAGAGGCUGACCAAGCACAUUUAACACUGAAGAAGCGGCUCCUCAGGUCUCAACCGCUUCCAGAUGUGGAAUGCCAGAGAUAAUCUAUCCUUUUGGAUCUCAAAUGAGAAAGGGGUGUCUUGCAGAAGCUGAAGGUCCAGAUCCGGCUCCCAGAUUGUAGACGUCCCACACGUGCGUGUAAUGCUUUGGGAGAACAGAUAGGGAACACUGGGAGCACUGAAAACUGGAUAUCAUUUCAAAAUGUGAGAACACUAUCAUCAACAACAUACAUUACAAACAUGUCUGUGUGAGUGAUGUGUUUGUCAGGAUUGGUU